This 67-nucleotide transfer RNA is filed under the name Mus musculus (house mouse). The record is from Rfam by way of RNAcentral. Lineage: Eukaryota; Metazoa; Chordata; Mammalia; Rodentia; Muridae.
GGAUGGCUCAGUGGUGAAGAGCACUGGCGGCUCUUCCAGAGGUCCUGAGUUCAAUUCCCAGCGUCCA